This 1401-nucleotide long non-coding RNA is filed under the name Sorghum bicolor (sorghum). RNAcentral describes it as "long non-coding RNA (SBIC_LNC015118)". The record is from RNAcentral. Lineage: Eukaryota; Viridiplantae; Streptophyta; Magnoliopsida; Poales; Poaceae.
UGUGUGUGUGCUGCAUCUCAUGUAUUGAGUAUGUUCUCUCUGCUGCAUCUCGUGCUUGCAGUUCUCUUUCUUUCACUAAAAUCUUUGGUUUUUGAAACAAGUAAGGUUUACUAAUGAUUCGUUAGUGGUAACUGAAAGAUCUGAACGUUAUUCUGAGCACACCAAUGGCCCAAUCAAACCGAAGCAACUACACCAUGCCACGAUGAGGUCGAGCAUGCCUCGUCACUGUUGUCCGACAGCAAUCAUGAGUAGGGGGAAAAAGUGCUGUCCCACAGUAUGGAAAUCCUCUGCGUGGACCAGCGCUGCCGUAUUGAGUGAUAGCAUCAACGCCGGUGUCUCCUAGACCAUCGCCUAGCCAGGUAAGAUGGAAGACGGUGCCCAACACUAGUGUCUAGAUCCAGCCAGAUGUGCCAUUGAUGCCAUACAUGUGGCACAUGGACAAGGGAACUCUUCAGGGAGAGCAGCUAUCCUACAUCUUUUCCAUCCCUUGCCUGCCUUGUGCUACGCAUCCUUAGUUGUCAUGUCGAUCGUCCCGAUUCUCAUGAAAAUUCAGCAUGAUCCUGCAGGAUGUGAUGGUUGCGAGCACAUCCACCAUGCAUGUUAUAAACAUUUUUACCCAAGGUUUAAGUAAGCAAACUUGAGUGGGCCAGGAGCUACUUACGACAUUCUUCUCACGUAACACAAGAAUUCCCAAUGCCUCGCAUGACUAGGCAACACGACGGAUCAUAUAGAAAGGAUAUGGGAGUAGAACUGGUUGUCCAUCCAUUUGGCAUACAUAUAUAACUUGGAGGACUAUUAUUUCAUUCUCUGCCUUUCACUAGCGCUUUUAUAGACCAAAUGUUGCGUCAAUGAUGGAAAAGGAUGCAUAUGCAUGUACUACUUGAUUGCACAGUGUGGAUUCCAGCUAAAUUAUAUAUAUGCACCUACCUGUGCACUAUAUGGACACAUGUAAUCUUUUAGUCCCUUCAUUCCAAAUUACAUGGCGUUUUGGCCUUAGAUAUGCACUAUAUCUUGAUGCAUAAUACUAAAAAUAAUAUAUCUACAAAAGCCAAAAUCUCUUAUAAGGAGGGAAUACUAUAUAAGCAUUCCAAUCGUUGACACAGAAUGUGUUCAAAACUCAUAAGACAUUGUUCAAAUUUUGAAGGCAUGCAUGGUUACCUAUGGUUCUUGUACAAUUAGAUGGUUGUUCUUGUUUCUGAUAACAUGGUUUUACUGUUAAUGUGAUAUUAACAAAAUUUCCUCUCGUGCGAAUGUAAAUAUUUAUGUGGAAAUUAUACAUGAACCUUUUAUGGCCCAUUAGUACCGUACCAGACAUGAUAAUAAUUGAAUGAUAAUUACAUGGACAACCAUUUCUUAUUUUGUACUGUGCCAUAAAGACCUCUAUUAUUCAAAAGUUACCAC